UUUCCGUAGGUGAACCUGGGGAAGGAUCAUUAUUGUAUAACCGAGGUGCGAGGGCUGUCGCUGACCCGAAAGGUCGUGCACGCCCGAGUGCCCUCACACACAUCCAUCUCACCCCUAUGUGCACCACCGCGUGGGUCCCCCUUUGGCUUGUUCGGAGGGGGGCUUACGUUUUCACACAAACUUUGUAUGCAGUGUAGAAUGUAUUUUUUGUUUUUGCGAUCACGCAAUCAAUACAACUUUCAACAACGGAUCUCUUGGCUCUC
Molecule: unclassified non-coding RNA, 263 nt
Filed under: plant metagenome
Description: partial contains small subunit ribosomal RNA, internal transcribed spacer 1, and 5.8S ribosomal RNA
Source: RNAcentral